Molecule: ribosomal RNA, 418 nt
Filed under: uncultured bacterium
Lineage: Bacteria
Description: bacterial SSU rRNA
Rfam family: Bacterial small subunit ribosomal RNA
Source: RNAcentral
GCAACGAGCGCAACCCUAACCCUCUGUUGCCACCAGGUAAUGCUGACCACUGUCAGGGGACUGCCGGUGAUAAACCGGAGGAAGGUGGGGAUGACGUCAAGUCCUCAUGGCCUUUAUGUCCAGGGCUACACACGUGCUACAAUGACAGGUACAAAGGGUCGCAAAACCGUGAGGUUGAGCUAAUCCCAGAAAGCCUGCCCCAGUUCGGAUUGGAGUCUGCAACUCGACUCCAUGAAGGUGGAAUCGCUAGUAAUCGUGGAUCAGCAGGCCACGGUGAAUACCUUCCCGGGCCUUGUACACACCGCCCGUCACAUCACGAAAGUUGGCUGUACUAGAAGUCGCUGGGCCAACCCGCAAGGGAGGCAGGUGCCGACGGUAUGGUUGAUGAUUGGGGUGAAGUCGUAACAAGGUAAAUCAC